GCCUGGGUGGCUCAGUCGGUUGAGCGUCCGACUUCGGCUCAGGUCACGAUCUCGCGGUCCGUGGGUUCGAGCCCCACGUCGGGCU
RNAcentral lists this transfer RNA (85 nucleotides) under Felis catus (domestic cat). It matches the Rfam family "tRNA". From Rfam's summary of the family: Transfer RNA (tRNA) molecules are approximately 80 nucleotides in length. Their secondary structure includes four short double-helical elements and three loops (D, anti-codon, and T loops). Lineage: Eukaryota; Metazoa; Chordata; Mammalia; Carnivora; Felidae. The record is from Rfam by way of RNAcentral.